GCGACAGGCUGCAGGGGCGGGAGGCAAGGGACACGCUAUGCCCAAGCAGGGCGAGUCCAUGGGCUGUGCCCAUGAUGGAAGACCACGACUGCCAUCAUGAUAGCUGGAAGUUUGUGGGCCACGACGCCGAUCCUGGUCAGAGCGGGCCUGGGGCUGCGCUUGUUGGAGCAGUGCCUUGUCAGAUUAGCCAUACGGUUGCUGUGUGCAAUUCUCAACCUGGACAGACAGGCCUGCCAGGCAGAAACUGCUCAGGCAGAUGAUGCUGGGGAGGACAAAAAUUAUCCACCGCAAGACUAAGAAGACAGAUGACACCCAGCAGGAAUGGCGAGCCAAAUCAUCAGAAUCCACAAUACAGCUGGCUAGCCCUAGGCUACCUGCCUCUUUGAAGUGGAAGAGACAUCACCGAUGAGCUGUCAAAUUAGAUCACCAGCCUGGAAACGCUGAAAGAGAUUUAGUUCUUCCAGCAGAGAAGGGGAAGUGUAAUAGAUGAAAAUCUUCCUAAAGGGGCCAAGGUAAUGUGGGAGGGGAAGGGGGAAUCCUGAACAUGCAACAAUGAAAAAUUACUAGCCUCUCUCCUGCCUGCACUGGAAAGAUGAAGUUGGCUGCGUUAUGUGGCAGCAGGAAUCACUGUAGUCACUACCAGCAUAGGAAAUAAGGGCGACGCCUGCAGGAAUGUGCACAUAGCAGCAACAAGCUAACAGGUAGGAUAUGCCAGCAUCCAGGUUUUGUGCAUUUUACCCAAAGAAUCACUGGCAAGUCAGUUGAUUUCAAGAGAUUUUCACCUACUCAGAGUGGACAGUGAAGAAAAGUAACUAAACUUGUUUGACUCAACCACUUCUGCUGUUAACUGGAAGCAAUACCUACGUUACCUGCCUGCCUCAUAGCACAACACUUGAAAGUCUGUUUGAACGUG
RNAcentral lists this long non-coding RNA (913 nucleotides) under Gallus gallus (chicken). RNAcentral's name for it is "long non-coding RNA NONGGAT004121". Lineage: Eukaryota; Metazoa; Chordata; Aves; Galliformes; Phasianidae. The record is from RNAcentral.